CCAUGGAGCAUUGAGGUCGUCAUUCACCUGGAGCAGAGGUCAGCACCGGGGUCAUUCCCGUGGAGCACUGGACGGCUCUGGGAGAAACUCUGCACUCAGCACCUCCCUUUCUCAGCCAGCACUUAGAGCUGGAGGCACAGCUUCAGGAGAAGAAUGAGCUCCCUGAAAACUCGGAUUUAGUACUGAGAGGCGAGCCCAUGGGUACCCUUUCAGCAUCCAGGGGGUUUGCCUGCUGAGUAAAACCCAACAUCCAUUCAACAAGUACCAGAGGACCCAUUAUUGGCAAUGAAUGUAAAACGUGUCCUUUCCUCGGCGACUGGAGGUGGGAAGAAGGAACCUACUCUGGGUUUUACUUUCAAAGGAACGCUCUCCAUUUUGAAUUAAAGGGGGUGAGGCAGCAGGGUUUAGGGAAAGGGGGUAUUUUCUCCAGAGUGAGGAUCAACUAUAAAACAUCCAAGUCUAUUCUAAUGCUCCUCCCAGCAUGGCUGGGACACCGUCACAGAAGUGAUCACCGCUAACAUGAACAUUCUGGGCUACAGUGCAAACCCCUCACAACGCUACACACCAAAUCCAGCCUGAGACACAUGGUCGGAAUAACUUUGCCAACUCCUGUCCACCAGAGGCUCAAAGACUCAAGGCCGCCACAGGUCCUUCUGGAAUUGUCCCCCCAAACACCCCCGGAGCCACCACAUGUCUCAUGGCCCCAGGUGUGCAUCCAGGACCCAUGUUUGGUGCAAAUGCUGGUGACGUCACCUGAACAACUCCAAGAGGGGGUUUCCGCUGUGUACUCCACUGACAGGCUGGCCAGGACCCACCUCACUUCCCAGGGCUCAGUCCUACACUGUUCCCCUCGGAUGUCAAAGUCUGCAGCCACUAAGGAGACGAGCGGUCAGGUGACUUCAGUCAAUAACAGUGUGGGGUGGGGUUGGGGCUGAAGGCCAGGACUUUUAUGAAAUCAUUUAUUAAACAAAUUCAGAGGAAGUUUAACCAGCAGUCAAUACCCAAGACAGGAUUCCUCCAAUUUCUACCUGUUGCUCACUUAGAGCCUGUCACAUGAACUUUCCGUGUGAAAUGUGACUCCAGGGAGUACUGACAUGCAAAUACUGAAGUAUUAUGAAACAGCAGGGGCAGCCGCCUUUACUCGGGUGGAAACAGUGUGUCUCCUCACUGCAGUCCCUGCCUCCGGCCACUUCCCGUCCAUUUCUGUCCAGCCCUCCACUCCCUGCAAAAGCUCAAUCCCGCCUCGGCCGAUUCACCUCUGCCCUGUCAUCCAGACUUCCACCCUCAGCUCUGGAUCGCCCCCAAGUCUCACCAUGACACAUCACAGCCACUCCCUUCUGAGGAAGGCAGCAGAAAGGGCACCUGACUUAGAAUCCGAAGACUGGACUGACUUCUUGGUUCUAACUCCAGCUGAAACGCGCAUUUUCUCCCAGUGAGAACAGCUUAACUGUUUCACAGAACUUCCUUAGGAAUCCAAUGAGGUGUCUGUACAACCACUGUGUCACCACCAAGCCAUCGAAAGGUGUCGGCCCCUUGACAACUUGCCCGAUCCCUCCGCUCCCACCCGCAAGCCCCUCUGAAGCAGGCCAUUCCCACUCCUUCCAAUCCACUUCCGCACGCAGAUGCCAUACAGUAUCAUCGCUAGACUUCGACAGAUUAAAAUACCUUUUCAGUCAUCUGGAUCCUUCCAAGAGUUAGGGAAGCUCUGCCCCUGCAGAAAAGCUUCCCCACCCAAGCCCUGCUCCAGCACAGAAGCAGCAUAUAUUCUUACCCCCAGUGCCUUAAUUAAAGCACCAUGCCCAGCUCUCUGCCUGCAGCUCGGUGGGGCUGAGAAGCAGGAAACAGCCAGGAUUAAAUAACUUGUACACUUACACUGACCUUCUUUUGGUUGGUGCUGUCCAGUAGGGACACCCAUCUCUACUUUGGAAUAAAAGUCAGCAAAGUUUUAUUUAAAGAA
Molecule: long non-coding RNA, 1957 nt
Organism: Myotis brandtii (Brandt's bat)
Lineage: Eukaryota; Metazoa; Chordata; Mammalia; Chiroptera; Vespertilionidae
Exons: 2
Source: RefSeq, a predicted model, not a curated record